Molecule: ribosomal RNA, 567 nt
Filed under: Anabaenopsis sp. IMU23
Lineage: Bacteria; Bacillati; Cyanobacteriota; Cyanophyceae; Nostocales; Nodulariaceae
Description: partial 16S ribosomal RNA
Rfam family: Bacterial small subunit ribosomal RNA
Source: RNAcentral
CGGGGACMACCACGGGAAACGGUGGCUAAUACCGGAUAUGCCGAAAGGUGAAAGGCUARCUGCCUGAAGAUGARCUCSCGUCUGAUUARCUARUUGGUAGAGUAAGARCCUACCMAGGSGACGAUCAGUAGCUGGUCUGARAGGAUGAUCAGCCACACUGGGACUGARACACGGCCCAGACUCCUACGGGAGGCAGCAGUGGGGAAUUUUCCSCMAUGGGCGAAASCCUGACGGAGCAAUACCSCGUGAGGGAGGAAGGSUCUUGGGUUGUAAACCUCUUUUCUCMAGGAAGAAAAAAAUGACGGUACUUGAGGAAUAAGCAUCSGCUAACUCCGUGSCAGCAGCCGCGGKAAUACGGAGGAUGCAAGCGUUAUCCGGAAUGAUUGGGCGUAAAGCGUCCGCAGGUGGCUGUGUAAGUCUGCUGUUAAAGAAUGAGGCUCAACCUCAUCAAAGCRGUGGAAACUACACSGSUAGAGUGCGUUCGGGGUARAGGGAAUUCCUGGUGUAGCGGUGAAAUGCGUAGAUAUCAGGAAGAACACCGGUGGCGAAAGCGCUCUGCUAGGCCGC